GACCAUGUGUAACCACACCAGCCCAGGACCUCCACAUCCUAUGCUAUCCCAUGCCCAACCAUGGAUGCCCCCUUGCCUGGUCAUGUGAAAUCCAUAGAUUAGGGCCUAAUUWAUUUAUUUCAAUUCUUAUAUGAACUGUAACUCAACAAAACCUUUGAAAUUGUUGCGUGUUGCGUUUGUAUUUUUGUUAAGUAUAGAUGGGUUUUCUACCCGCUGUGGGAAAACACUGCAGGCAGUGAGUCAGCCUUUCUGACAGCAGUGGGCUGGGAAGAGGUUUGGUGAGAUUGCUUCAUCGUUGAUUUACUGCUCCCAUUAGGGCGUUCUGAUAAUGGGCCCAGUUGGCAGACAGCUCUGGCAUGGUGGAGGACUUACAGCACCGUCCAGCACUUGAUUUGAUUCCUUCACAGCAGUGACGAGAAUUCUCAGAAUCCAGCCAUAAACUAUGAGCUGGUCCUGAGGAAGUGGAGUGAGCUGCUACCUGGUGGGG
Long non-coding RNA from Salvelinus sp. IW2-2015, 487 nucleotides. RefSeq lists it as uncharacterized. Lineage: Eukaryota; Metazoa; Chordata; Actinopteri; Salmoniformes; Salmonidae. The record is from RefSeq and is a predicted model, not a curated record.